RNAcentral lists this ribosomal RNA (565 nucleotides) under uncultured Synechococcus sp. Its description in RNAcentral is "bacterial SSU rRNA". It matches the Rfam family "Bacterial small subunit ribosomal RNA", at positions 340 to 919 of the family's 1533-position model. The record is from RNAcentral. Lineage: Bacteria; Bacillati; Cyanobacteriota; Cyanophyceae; Synechococcales; Synechococcaceae.
UACGGGAGGCAGCAGUGGGGAAUUUUCCGCAAUGGGCGAAAGCCUGACGGAGCAACGCCGCGUGAGGGAUGAAGGCCUCUGGGCUGUAAACCUCUUUUCUCAAGGAAGAAGACCUGACGGUACUUGAGGAAUAAGCCACGGCUAAUUCCGUGCCAGCAGCCGCGGUAAUACGGGAGUGGCAAGCGUUAUCCGGAAUUAUUGGGCGUAAAGCGUCCGCAGGCGGCCCUGUAAGUCUGUCGUUAAAGCGUGGAGCUUAACUCCAUUUCAGCGAUGGAAACUACAGGGCUUGAGUGUGGUAGGGGCAGAGGGAAUUCCCGGUGUAGCGGUGAAAUGCGUAGAUAUCGGGAAGAACACCAGUGGCGAAGGCGCUCUGCUGGGCCAUAACUGACGCUCAUGGACGAAAGCCAGGGGAGCGAAAGGGAUUAGAUACCCCUGUAGUCCUGGCCGUAAACGAUGAACACUAGGUGUCGGGGGAAUCGACCCCCUCGGUGUCGUAGCCAACGCGUUAAGUGUUCCGCCUGGGGAGUACGCACGCACGUGUGAAACUCAAAGGAAUUGACGGGGA